Molecule: small nuclear RNA, 104 nt
Filed under: Piliocolobus tephrosceles (Ugandan red Colobus)
Lineage: Eukaryota; Metazoa; Chordata; Mammalia; Primates; Cercopithecidae
Source: RNAcentral
GUGCUCACUUCAGCAAUACAUAUACUAAAAUUAAAACAAUGCAGAGAUUUGUGUGGCCCAUGUGCAAGGAUGACCUGCAAAUUCAUGAAGCAUUCCAUAUUUUU